This 711-nucleotide ribosomal RNA is filed under the name uncultured organism. RNAcentral's name for it is "bacterial SSU rRNA". It matches the Rfam family "Bacterial small subunit ribosomal RNA", at positions 81 to 771 of the family's 1533-position model. The record is from RNAcentral.
CGGGUUAGGACUGAGCGGCGAACGGGUGAGUUACACGUGGGUUACCUGCCCAUCAGCGGGGGAGUACCCCNGGGAAACCGGGACUAAUACCCCAUAAUUCCAGUUGACAGCAGUUGAUUGGAAAAAGGCGGCCUCUUAGAAGCUGUCACUGAUGGAUGGGCCCGCGUCCCAUUAGUUAGUUGGUGGGGUAAGAGCCUACCAAGACAGCGAUGGGUAGCCGGCCUGAGAGGGUGGCCGGUCACGCUGGGACGUGAGACACGGCCCAGACUCCUACGGGAGGCAGCAGUAGGGAAUUUUGCACAAUGGGGGCAACCCUGAUGCAGCGACGCCGCGUGAGCGAUGAAUGCCUUCGGGUUGUAAAGCUCUGUCAUGGGGGACGAACGUCCCGGUAGCAAAUAGUUGCCGGGAGUGACGGUACCCCAGAAGGAAGCCCCGGCUAACUACGUGCCAGCAGCCGCGGUAAUACGUAGGGGGCAAGCGUUGUCCGGAAUUACUGGGCGUAAAGGGCACGCAGGCGGUCUGGCCAGUCUGAUGUGAAAGGCCCCGGCUCAACCGGGGAGUGGCAUUGGAAACUGCCAGGCUUGAGGACGGAAGAGGAGAGCGGAAUUCCCGGUGUAGCGGUGGAAUGCGUAGAGAUCGGGAGGAACACCAGUGGCGAAGGCGGCUCUCUGGUCCGUACCUGACGCUGAGGUGCGAAAGCGUGGGUAGCGA